ACGGGAGGCAGCAGUGGGGAAUAUUGGGCAAUGGGCGAAAGCCUGACCUAGCAACGCCGCGUGAAGGAAGAAGGUCUUCGGAUUGUAAACCUCUUUUAUGAGGGACGAAGGAAGUGACGGUACCUCAUGAAUAAGCCACGGCUAACUACGUGCCAGCAGCCGCGGUAAUACGUAGGUGGCAAGCGUUAUCCGGAUUUACUGGGUGUAAAGGGCGCGUAGGCGGGGAUGCAAGUCAGGUGUGAAAUCUAUGGGCUUAACUCAUAAACUGCACUUGAAACUGUAUCUCUUGAGUGCUGGAGAGGUAGACGGAAUUCCUUGUGUAGCGGUGAAAUGCGUAGAUAUAAGGAAAAACACCAGUGGCGAAGGCGGCUUACUGGACGACAACUGACGCUGAGGCGCGAAAGCGUGGGGAGCAAACAGGAUUAGAUACCCUGGUA
The sequence is a ribosomal RNA, 437 nucleotides long. It matches the Rfam family "Bacterial small subunit ribosomal RNA", at positions 341 to 792 of the family's 1533-position model.